Molecule: long non-coding RNA, 1524 nt
Organism: Homo sapiens (human)
Lineage: Eukaryota; Metazoa; Chordata; Mammalia; Primates; Hominidae
Exons: 2
Source: RefSeq, a predicted model, not a curated record
AGAGGCCACACUCAUCGUAGCAGAGAGGCAGGAACAGCUGGGCGAGGGUCCUUCUGUGACAUCUACUGCAUCACUGGGCUCUGUGAAGUGACUCAGCUGCCAGAACUCACACAAUAUUCUGCACCAAAACCUCACGGGAAAAAUGCAUCACGAACCUCAGACUUAAACAGCACAACAGGCUCCUCCCAGGUCUCCAGCUACACAACCCUCAGACUUAAACAACAGCAGCGGCACCAGCUCCUCCCUGGGUCUCCAGCUCCACAAACCUCAAAUUAGAACAGCAGCACUGGCUACACCCAGUCUCCAGCUCUACACCUCUAACUUGAACUACAGCCACCAGCUCCUUCCUGGGUCUCCGGCUCCACAGACCUUAAACGAAAACAGCAGCACUGGCUCCUCCCCAGGUCCCCAGCUACAGACCCUCAAACAAGAAGAACAGCAGCACCAGCUCCACCUAAAGUCUCCAGCUCCACACCUCAAACUAGAACUUCAGCACCCGCUCCUCCCCGAGUCUCAAUAUCUGUGACCCUCAAAAUAAAACAGCAGGACCAGCUCCUCCUCUGGUCUUCAGCUUCACGACCUUAACUGUAACAGCACCACCCGCUCCUCCGGGGUCAACAGCUCCGACGCUAAAACUAGAACAGCAGACCAGCUUCUACCUAAAACACCAGCUCCGAGACUCUCAAACAAGAACAGCAGCACUGACUUCUCUCACCAGGUCUCCAGCUCCACGAUCCUGAAACUUGAACGGCAGCACCCGCUCCUCCCCGGGUCUCCAGCUCCACGAACCUCAAACUUGAACAGCAGCACCCGCUCCUCCCAGCGUCUCCAGCUCCAUGAACCUCAAACUUGAACAGCAGUACCCGCUCCUCCCCGGGUCUCCAGCUCCACGAACCUCAAACUUGAACAGCAGCACUCGCUCCUCCCAAGGUCUCCAGCUCUGCGAACCUCAAACUUGAACUGCAGCACCUGCUCCUCCCCGGGUCUCCAGCUCCACGAACCUUAAACUAAAACAGCAGUACUCACUCCUCCCCAGAUCCCCAGCUGCAGACCCUCAAGCUGCAACAGCAGCACCAUCUCCUCUCCAGGUCUCCAGCUCCAUGGACCUUAAACUAGAACAGCAGCACCAGCUCCUCCUUGGGACAACAGCUCCAAGACCCUCAAACUACAACAGCAGCCCUGACUCCUGCCCAGGUUUACAGCUCCACAAACGUCAAACUUGAACUUCAGCACUAGCUGAAGUCUCCAGCUCCCUGACCCUCAAACUAGAACAGCAGCACCAUCUCCUCUCUGGGUCUCCAGCUCCACGAACCUCAAACUUGAACUGCAGCACCUGCUCCUCCCUGGAUCUCCAGCUCCACGGACCUUAAACUAAAACAGCAGUACUCGCUCCUCCCCAGGUCCCCAGCUGCAGACCCUCAAACUGCAACAGCAGCACCAUCUCCUCUCUGGGUCUCCAGCUCCAUGGACCUUAAACUAGAACAGCAGCACCAGCUCCUCUCCUGGUCUCCAGCUCCAGGACCC